AGUGAACGCUGGCGGUAGGCCUAACACAUGCAAGUCGAACGGCAGCACAGUAAGAGCUUGCUCUUACGGGUGGCGAGUGGCGGACGGGUGAGGAAUACAUCGGAAUCUACUUUUUCGUGGGGGAUAACGUAGGGAAACUUACGCUAAUACCGCAUACGACCUACGGGUGAAAGCAGGGGAUCUUCGGACCUUGCGCGAUUGAAUGAGCCGAUGUCGGAUUAGCUAGUUGGCGGGGUAAAGGCCCACCAAGGCGACGAUCCGUAGCUGGUCUGAGAGGAUGAUCAGCCACACUGGAACUGAGACACGGUCCAGACUCCUACGGGAGGCAGCAGUGGGGAAUAUUCGACAAUGGGCGCAAGCCUGAUCCAGCCAUACCGCGUGGGUGAAGAAGGCCUUCGGAUUGUAAAGCCCUUUUGUUGGGAAAGAAAAGCAGCAUAUUAAUACCCCGCUGUUCUGACGGUACCCAAAGAAUAAGCACCGGCUAACUUCGUG
RNAcentral lists this ribosomal RNA (492 nucleotides) under uncultured bacterium. Its description in RNAcentral is "partial 16S ribosomal RNA". It matches the Rfam family "Bacterial small subunit ribosomal RNA", at positions 29 to 507 of the family's 1533-position model. The record is from RNAcentral.